This 1474-nucleotide ribosomal RNA is filed under the name metagenome. Its description in RNAcentral is "bacterial SSU rRNA". It matches the Rfam family "Bacterial small subunit ribosomal RNA". The record is from RNAcentral.
AGAGUUUGAUCAUGGCUCAGGAUGAACGCUAGCUACAGGCUUAACACAUGCAAGUCGAGGGGAAACGAUAUUGGAAGCUUGCUUCCGAUAGGCGUCGACCGGCGCACGGGUGAGUAACGCGUAUCCAACCUGCCCACCACUUGGGGAUAACCUUGCGAAAGUAAGACUAAUACCCAAUGAUAUCUCUAGAAGACAUCUGAAAGAGAUUAAAGAUUUAUCGGUGAUGGAUGGGGAUGCGUCUGAUUAGCUUGUUGGCGGGGUAACGGCCCACCAAGGCAACGAUCAGUAGGGGUUCUGAGAGGAAGGUCCCCCACAUUGGGACUGAGACACGGCCCAGACUCCUACGGGAGGCAGCAGUGGGGAAUAUUGCACAAUGGGGGAAACCCUGAUGCAGCGACGCCGCGUGGAGGAAGAAGGUCUUCGGAUUGUAAACUCCUGUUGUUGGGGAAGAUAAUGACGGUACCCAACAAGGAAGUGACGGCUAACUACGUGCCAGCAGCCGCGGUAAAACGUAGGUCACAAGCGUUGUCCGGAAUUACUGGGUGUAAAGGGAGCGCAGGCGGGAAGACAAGUUGGAAGUGAAAUCUAUGGGCUCAACCCAUAAACUGCUUUCAAAACUGUUUUUCUUGAGUAGUGCAGAGGUAGGCGGAAUUCCCGGUGUAGCGGUGGAAUGCGUAGAUAUCGGGAGGAACACCAGUGGCGAAGGCGGCCUACUGGGCACCAACUGACGCUGAGGCUCGAAAGUGUGGGUAGCAAACAGGAUUAGAUACCCUGGUAGUCCACACCGUAAACGAUGAUUACUAGGUGUUGGAGGAUUGACCCCUUCAGUGCCGCAGUUAACACAAUAAGUAAUCCACCUGGGGAGUACGACCGCAAGGUUGAAACUCAAAGGAAUUGACGGGGGCCCGCACAAGCAGUGGAGUAUGUGGUUUAAUUCGACGCAACGCGAAGAACCUUACCAAGUCUUGACAUCCCUUGACGAUGCUGGAAACAGUGUUUCUCUUCGGAGCAAGGAGACAGGUGGUGCAUGGUUGUCGUCAGCUCGUGUCGUGAGAUGUUGGGUUAAGUCCCGCAACGAGCGCAACCCUUAUGGUCAGUUACUACGCAAGAGGACUCUGGCCAGACUGCCGUUGACAAAACGGAGGAAGGUGGGGAUGACGUCAAAUCAUCAUGCCCUUUAUGACUUGGGCUACACACGUACUACAAUGGCGUUAAACAAAGAGAAGCAAGACCGCGAGGUGGAGCAAAACUCAGAAACAACGUCCCAGUUCGGACUGCAGGCUGCAACUCGCCUGCACGAAGUCGGAAUUGCUAGUAAUCGUGGAUCAGCAUGCCACGGUGAAUACGUUCCCGGGCCUUGUACACACCGCCCGUCACACCAUGAGAGCCGGGGGGACCCGAAGUCGGUAGUCUAACCGCAAGGAGGACGCCGCCGAAGGUAAAACUGGUGAUUGGGGUGAAGUCGUAACAAGGU